RNAcentral lists this ribosomal RNA (398 nucleotides) under uncultured bacterium. Its description in RNAcentral is "partial 16S ribosomal RNA". It matches the Rfam family "Bacterial small subunit ribosomal RNA", at positions 523 to 918 of the family's 1533-position model. The record is from RNAcentral.
AUACGUAGGGUGCGAGCGUUGUCCGGAAUUACUGGGCGUAAAGAGCUCGUAGGUGGUUUGUCGCGUCGUCUGUGAAAUUCCGGGGCUUCACUCCGGGCGUGCAGGCGAUACGGGCAUAACUUGAGUACUGUAGGGGAGACUGGAAUUCCUGGUGUAGCGGUGAAAUGCGCAGAUAUCAGGAGGAACACCGGUGGCGAAGGCGGGUCUCUGGGCAGUAACUGACGCUGAGGAGCGAAAGCAUGGGUAGCGAACAGGAUUAGAUACCCUGGUAGUCCAUGCCGUAAACGGUGGGCGCUAGGUGUAGGGGUCUUCCACGACUUCUGUGCCGUAGCUAACGCAUUAAGCGCCCCGCCUGGGGAGUACGGCCGCAAGGCUAAAACUCAAAUGAAUUGACGGGG